Pecten maximus is the source of this 7766-nucleotide long non-coding RNA. RefSeq lists it as uncharacterized. NCBI's taxonomy places the organism in Eukaryota, Metazoa, Mollusca, Bivalvia, Pectinida, Pectinidae. The record is from RefSeq and is a predicted model, not a curated record. The transcript has 2 exons.
UAAAAAAUUGUGAUAAUUACAAAGAACUUAUUAAAGAAUUUCAAAAUUUUACCGAUUAAACACUUGUAUCUGAAAUUUGUUUGUUUUAGUGUACUACCCAUCGACAGCCAUGCUCAUUUCUGGCAAAAAACACACUUAAUUGAUUUUAUUUGAGUACAAAUACAGAUUUAAAAUGAAGACAUUUUUUAAAAGAUUCGCAUUGUUUAUUCAGAUCACUAUGACUUAAGGUUGGUUAAAAUAAAAUAAAAAAGAUCUAUUACGAAUAGAUUAUGUGACGUUUUUGAUGUUUGUGUAACAUUGAAGAUAGUAGGUAAAAUGACCUCAAAGGCUAUUGAGAUUGAUUCCUUAUAAUUAGCAUUAUAUUAGAAAGUGCCCAAAUGCAUUGCUGAAAGUCAUAAUUACGUAAUCUAUUAUUAGUAGUGGUACUACAAACGUCCGUAUUCUGCGCAAUAUAGAAUGCCGAUGUAUUUAUUGCAAUGAAUUUUGCGGGAUUUUUUUUUUCGAGUAAACACUAGUGCUUUUUAAGGAGAUUGCGUGGCCCUUAAAAGGGCUGUGAUGGGUGGGUGGCCUUUUUAUGAUAAUACCUAUCUGCCUCAUCGUCUGGAUUGCAUUUUCUAUACUUUUUGUGAAGGCGAACUCCAUCGUUACUGUCUGAUGUGUGCCGUUCCUGCGUCGAAUGACAUUGGUAGUGUCAUGUCUCCAAAUCUUCUACUGUAAACUUUGGUUAGUAUUUUUUUUAGUAGAGACGCUUUCUUGUUGUAGUGUCGAUCGUGACGCGGAAAUAAUCCGGCCUGAAUGAAUACAGAGCUGUAUGCGGGAAAGUCACAUUCGACGUAAUGAUGUCCAAGUGUUGGUAGCUUUAGUCCGUAAUAACCAUAUUGUUUAUAAAGUUACAUAACUAUAAUUCUAUUUUUCAAUUUGUCAUUCUCAUUACAAAAUUUGAAACGAAAACCAUUGAAGCAGAUAUCUGGACAAGUGAUCGUACAUGAUGGACAGAUGAAGAGAUUGAAAACAAUGGCAUACCAAAGUAAGUCCCAUAAACUAAAUGUAGUAGAGUGAUUUAAUGUAGUUUUUAAUAAAAUAUAUAAAACAUUGAUGCUGUGUUGUUUUGUUAUAUAUAUAUAUAUAUAUACAUGUAUAUGUAUGCAUGUAUAGAAGACCAGUAUGCAGUAUUUUACCUGUAAUAUGCCCAACAUGUACUUUAAUUUGAAUUUUCGAAUGCAGUGGAACCACGAGAAAUCUUCGAGUUAUCCGAGUUAUCCGGACAGAAAGACAAAAGUGGGUAUAUUUUAAGACACUGACCAUGAAGUAUAUUUAUCCUUCAGUGCUUAGCAAACAUGGUAGAAUUGACGUUUUAUCCGAUUUAAUAGACAGCACUGACCGGCGACUGUUUCAUUUCUAAACGUAGAUAAGUUCCGCUUGAGCGAGCGGGUAGAUGAAUUGUUGACUAUCGUGUGUACUGUUAUCGGCGACCGCCUUAAAUCUCUAUAAAAACCGCCCAAGGGGGAGGCAGACAAAUCGUCACUAUAGAACGGUUGCUUAAGUUAUAGUAAUUGAAUGACUAGACGAGUGUAUUGCGAGAUAUUUCGGUGGGCGGGAACGAGUAACGCCCACCGAAAUAUCGAGUGUACACGAGUCUAGGACAUUCAAUAAAAUGGCUUGUAUCAUUGCCCGUCCAUCGGCUGUCAUUAAACUUCUAAAAACCAAUCAGAAUUGUCUCGGGUUUCUGAUUGAAUUCCCGCCAAAAACAAUCAACGAUCAAUUAGGAGUACAUUUCCCGCCAAAAACGUUAUCAGUUACAUGUAGUUCAAUGCGCACCCGACUUUGUAAGCGGUAAGCAGCAGGAUGUCAACCCCUUCAGCUAGCUUAAUGGUCAGUUUAAAGUACAGGGAUUUCCUUUCAUUACAAGGGGAUGAUUUUGACGACAUUGUGUUAUCUUAAGCAUUCAAGGAUAUAGAAAACGAAGUGAAAGUUUUUGAUGGGAUUUCCGACAUGUCGCUGACACCUAACGGGAAGGUGAUGCAAAACAUAUUUAGGAAUACGCCACAUUACCAGCAAGAACAGACAUUAUUACAACCAAGAAGGUGACCGAUGUAUUCCGGAGUACUUCGAUAUGUACAAUGAUGUUUAUACAGGAGACUUCUCGGAGGAACCCCCAUUUGUUAUGGAAGACAGGUCGUCGGUGUAAACAAACCAAAACAACAUGUGAAAGUGAAAGGAAAUUACACACAAUUUACACUAUUGUACAAAUGCGGCGAACUGGACAACUGUUACACGUUAUGUUAAAUUUGUAAACAGGGAAUCGUAUACAUAAUAUUUGUAACCAAACAUGUUUUUUUCAAGUUUUAAUAACACCUAUGUACUACAGACCCUAUUCGGCAUUGAUACAAAAACAUCCAGAUCGCUGUAAACACUUGCGCUUGACCAGAAAAAAAUCAAACGUUACAAUGUUUAUUUUACUCACCUGUAUGUAAUUGGGUCUUAAAACGACCAACAGCCACAUAAUUAUUUUAAUACAAUGAUUAAUAAAACAAAACUGUACGGUUAUUACAAUGUUCAAGCCCAGAUAGGCCUAGAUAAUCUGAUCACUUGUGUAUUAAUCCGUCACAGCGCCACCUAGGAAGGGCGAUCACACGUAACGGUAAAACCAAAAUCCGGCACGAACAAUGAAGGACUGGAUGUUUAUUUUACCUUCCGGUCAGUGCAAAGUUUUCUAAGAGAUUAAUAGCCAUUCUUCUCACCUGUGGAUACACUGGUCAGUAAACAAAAGAUCGAUAAUUACGUAUACACACGCAAAUGGCCAGUUUGACACGAAUUACCGUAAGCUGUUCACGGCUCGGUGCACCAGGUAAAUUUUUAGACACGACCAACUGGUCAUAAUUGUGGGGGUAAUUAACGUGAAUUAGUGGUCGUUGAGACUGGACAAGGUGGUCGUAAUAGUGAAGCGACCAAUACAAUGAUAUAGAGAGAAAAAAUCGGGACUGAAAAAAAAGUGCCCGUAAUAGCGGGGUGGUCGUAAGGUGAGGUUUCACUGUAUAAUAUAUAGAGGACACGGCCUUCAGCUUUAAUUUUCUGUGAUCGGAUUGACAUGAGGACACUGAAGUUUAAUAAUUACAUUAAAUAGAACUAACAUUGACUUUUUGCAUAGACAAAUUGGAAAUGAUUGUAUGCCUUGAAGUUUUUGUUUCAUUAAAGUUGAAAAUUACGGAAAUAAACUAAUGGUUCUGUGAGUUUUUGACUGUAUACGUUGCUGUAUACCUUCGGUAGCCAAUAACAUCCAAAUUUGGGGAGUUAGUGUACACUUUGAUGUACAACAACUUCCUAGUAUGUGAAGUUAUUGGACAACUAAGCUCCGCCUCUUAACUGGGUAUUGGGAUUUAUUGUACACGCAACUUCACAGGAAAAAUGAUACACACUUACUGUUCAUAACACUGAUAAUACUGAUUGAUACUUUUUGUGUUGACAAUCAGGGUAAUUUCAUGCAAGGCCAGUAUCGUUGCUUUAUUAUAACAAAAUUAUUAACGCAAAUCCAUAUAAAAAGAUAUUUAAACUUUAAUUUAAACCUUUAGUUAUAGGCUGUAAUAAUUUGAAUAACGAUUUAAUUAAACAUUGAAAUAACUUCCCUAUAAUGAAAUCUGCAUAAAUGGUUAUAUCUGCAUUGCUAACUUCACUUUGAAAUAUCUUUUUUUUUCAAAUUUUUGCUAAGAAAAACAUAAUUAAAAACUUACUGAAAUCAAUGCUGUAAAUAGACCCCUGUGGAGAACCUAUUUAAUUGAAAUGCAGAGGGACCUCACCAGGUGUUCCGAUUGACACACCUGAUGACCAAUUUUCACUUAUGCCUCCGGGUAUAGAAGAAGUGGUGGUAGGCCGAUCUUCACGACUCGGUGCACAAAUAUAAUAAAGUGGAGUCUCUAAUCCAACUUGUAGCUCUAGUCUGCCUUAGUUUGUUGCCAAUACCAAUAGUCUAUUUUUUUUGUCUAUCAAACAUGGUCUUUUUUUUUAUUUUAUUUUAUCAGUCAUUUUAUCAAUCGAGUUUUAAUCAAUAAUAAUGUUCAUUGAUUUAAAGGAAAGUUAUUAGUUUAAAAGAUCCCAUAACGUGAACAUGUUACUUUGAUUCAUAAUAAAAAAGAUAAGAUUCCGUUUUCAGAAAAUGCAGAUGUCAAUUAACAAAUGCUGCAUGCAUUGUACAGUAUAUUACUCUCCGAUUGGACAGCUAGUAUAUACUAUUCACGACUGUCUAGGUCCAAGCUCAUUUAAUUUAUUGACGUUUUAAGCAUUUAUUUUAAACAUUUACAGAUUUCAGAUUUUAUUGAUCACUAUGAAAUCACACAUUUCUUACUUCCAAUUUUAAUCCGGAAGAUUUUCAACAACGUGGAGAGAAGUUGGGGUCAGUCAUCCGUGUCGACAACCGAUCAGCUUGCCCGCUUACACGUUGUCAAAGCAACCGCUGCGAGGUCCUGGCCCCAGGCAUUUACCUGUGCAGCUCUAAGUUUUUGUAACCGUACUUUGUUUUUCACUACUUCGAUUUUAAAGAACGGAUUAUAGACUGGCCCUGUUUUUGUUUCAAACCUUAAGCAACUGAUAACUAGGGUAUCAACAAAUGCUAUUCCGUAGUUAGAACGAGUCCAUAAAAACAUACGCAACCAAGAUAGAUUAUUAUUGAUCUGGAGUAAACAUCACAAAACACCUUUGUGCCACUUUUACAUUCUGUAGGGUAAUGAUUACGUAAAUGUACAGUAGCGGGACGUCGCUCAUGUGUACUGUUUGAAGGUCACCACGACUAGUCCUAACCCUAAAUGAUGGUCCUCUUUAAAUUUCGUUUAUUUAAAAUUGUAGAAGGAAUGAAACGUAAACCAAAACAAUAAUAAAAAAAAGAAACAUGUCAAAUUGAUAUUCACAAAUCAUACCAAAUCAUUGAUGAGUUGUCAAUUAAACGUUUCCAAGUGUAUGUAAUCAAGGGAAAUAUCGCGUCCUCGACAAAUUUAUUCACAAAGUCCACGAAAUUCAGCAGUCCGGAAAACUCGUAAUCCAGACGGUUUGUGCUGGGACCAACAGUGUCCGGAUUAUCUUCGGUCUAUUGUACUGUAAUUAUUGGCUCAUGCAUUUGAUCCGAUGAAAGAAUUAUGGUAUGUGUUUUAGUGGACAAUGGAUUAUUGACGUUUAUAAUGUAUUGGAUGUGUAAGAAUACGACAUGUAUAAGUUUUUAAUUGUAUUUAAAGAUAAAUAUUGUGUAGAUCGUUUAGAACAUUGUUUUAUGAUAUAACCUUAUGUAGUAUCUUCAUCUUAAUCUUAUAUUUCUAGAUAUGUCUUUCUUCCUACCUCUUUCUUUGCUUUCUUUGUAAUCAUAAAUAUAAUGUGUCGCUUUCACUAUCUUUGUAAUAUGAAUUUUAGGGAAAGGGAUUUUAUAAGUUGGUAAAAAUCUUUUGCCAUAUCCAAUUGUGUGUAAACGAUGAUAUAUAUAUCUUAAGAUAAGAAAAAUAUAUAAAGAGGGUUGGUCAUUUCCCGCUUAUCCUGACCUAGGCCACCGAUAGUCUGGACUAAACAAUCAAUACCAUAUGAAAUAAAGUAAAAUUGAUACAUUAAAUAUGAAUUUUACACUACCCAUCCAUAUAUGCCUGUUGUCGUCGCUGCAGUUCAUUUAUAUUUUACCGUGAAUGAUACGGGGUAAAUCGGUUAAGUUAUGAUUUUGACUUUUUUUUAUGUAAGUGGAAAUUUUCUAUCUCAGCAUUAAAGUAAUCAACAGACAAGCACGAUAAGUGUUGUGUUGUAGGAAUAUCCGACACACACAACGCCAAUCGACGGGUAUUAUUUAUGUUCAAAGAUGAGUCAAGAAUCCACUUAGAUAGCAUUUACGGCCGUAGCAGGACGUAUCGUCGUGUAUGAGAGAGAUUCUGAGAUAUCUGCGUCGAAGGAUGACGUUCUCUUGGUGGUUGCAGUGUCAUGGCUUGUGGAGAGAUCACUGCCCAUGGCAGAACUUCUCUUGUAAGGCACAGGUAUAAUUUCACUGAAAUUCAAUACAGAGAUAUAAUGAUUAAUCAUUGUACAACAUGUUGUGCCCUUCAUCCGUGCCCAAAUAUGUUAAGUUACGCUACAGCAAGACAAGGAGACAUUUCAAGUGCAAGUUAUUCUGAGUAAGAAAUAGAACGCAUAAACUAACGAACCGGAUAUUUUCAAUAUUACGAGUAUUGGAAUCCAAAACAAUAAGCAAAAACAAUACAAUGUAAUUCCAGUAACAGUUAUAAUCAGAAAAUUACAAGAAAUAACGUAAAUAGGGUCCAUGCCUAUUAUCAUGACUAACAUAAUAUUACCGUGACGUGAAAUGGCGUGGAUAUUGAAAAAAAACCACCAGUAUUGAUUUUUACGCGAUAUGAAACUUGUCUUUAUGUGAAUUAAAGCAUACCAUGACCCAUAACGUCAAUCGAUGGAAAAGACGCCUUGAAAAUGCAAUAUUCUGUGCCAUUUUACGUCACGGUUAUGUUUGUCACAUUAAUAGACCUUGUCCCUAUCAUUUCAAAGAGUUAACGAUUGUCUACUUGAGUACACAUUUAAAACACAACCCGUCUCGUAGACGAACAUUUUCGUGUAAAAUACAAUACAUGCACCAUAUUUUUUAUUUGAGUUUCAAACAUUUAUACAUAUGUAUACGUUUUAAGUACAAUAAAUUACAGGAAAUAACGUUCAAAAUGAUGUCCUGUAUCCAGCUUACGCUGAGGGGCUUUUUCAUUAACGCAACAAACAAAAUCGCAUUCAUCUUAUGGCCGGGCGACAAACCUCUUAAAAACGAACACGGGAAUCACUGGCUGACAUUAAAUCUUUAUUUCAAUUCUCCCUUUCACAAGAUUAUAUAUACAGAGAAAAACAUACAUGUAUACAUUUCCGAUAAAUAGCUGUGGGAAAACAAUGUGGAGGCCUCCUUGGAAUAAACAAGCAUGAUAUAUGUUAUUCCGAUGUGAACGCACUAUUACAUAUAGGGACAUUGGCAUGCACAUUAAGGACAAAUCUUCACGUCUGCAUUUAUAUAUCUUUGUUGUUCGGAAAUUCGGAAUUUUAUUUAGUCCCAACAAAUACCAGAGACAUAUAUCUAUGUAUAUGUCUGCAUAUACGAACCGUACACGGCGUACGUAUUUUCACCCAUGUUCUGCAGUAAAAAAAAAAAAAAUAACUACGGGAAACGGCGCAAUACAUACAGUAGAGAAAAGAACGAACAUCUUAAAAAAACUACUUUUUGUUUUCGUUCGACUUUGAUUCGGUCUCAACAGUGCAUACACAAUAAACUACGGAAAACUAUAAUGAGUAGGUCCUAGCCAUUUACAAAUCGGGCAUGAAAAGGCAAAUAUUAGAUAUGUUUAUUAAUAUCAUGUGGUUGUAACUAGUGCUGCAACGACACGCUUCCCUCACGAUACGAUAGGUAGAUACUUGUCUCGCGAUACGAUAUGACGGUACAGCGUGCCCCAUUAGUUUAUCCUGUCGGGGUCAAGUGUGGAGGGCUCCGGGAUUUACGCAGGAUAAGCAUGAUUGGUGUACGCCGUACGAUCUGUAGCAAAAAUACGCCUUUAAUGCAGCAGCGAGAAACAUUAUUCAGGUUAGGAAAUAACCUAGAUCUGUGAGUCGCCAUCAGCCAAUCAAAAUACAGGAUUCCUGACAGUAGAUCGGGAACACUUCGCCUCGACAAUUUUGAUUCUGAAACGAUUUAAAAUGAAUUUAAACCGCCUGUUUUGAACACGGAUCCAGAAAAGUUUCUAUAUAAAUCAAACUUAAAUGGGCGA